This 621-nucleotide ribosomal RNA is filed under the name uncultured bacterium. RNAcentral's name for it is "bacterial SSU rRNA". It matches the Rfam family "Bacterial small subunit ribosomal RNA", at positions 60 to 682 of the family's 1533-position model. The record is from RNAcentral.
AGUCGACGGAACCCAGGAAAGAGUUUUCGGACAUGGAAUUGGUUGUUUAGUGGCGGACGGGUGAGUAACGCGUGAGUAACCUGCCUUGGAGUGGGGAAUAACACAGUGAAAACUGUGCUAAUACCGCAUGAUAUAUUGGUGUCGCAUGGCACUGAUAUCAAAGAUUUAUCGCUCUGAGAUGGACUCGCGUCUGAUUAGAUAGUUGGCGGGGUAACGGCCCACCAAGUCGACGAUCAGUAGCCGGACUGAGAGGUUGGCCGGCCACAUUGGGACUGAGACACGGCCCAGACUCCUACGGGAGGCAGCAGUGGGGAAUAUUGGGCAAUGGGCGCAAGCCUGACCCAGCAACGCCGCGUGAAGGAAGAAGGCUUUCGGGUUGUAAACUUCUUUUAACAGGGACGAAGCAAGUGACGGUACCUGUUGAAUAAGCCACGGCUAACUACGUGCCAGCAGCCGCGGUAAUACGUAGGUGGCAAGCGUUAUCCGGAUUUACUGGGUGUAAAGGGCGUGUAGGCGGGACUGCAAGUCAGAUGUGAAAACUAUGGGCUCAACCCAUAGCCUGCAUUUGAAACUGUAGUUCUUGAGUGUCGGAGAGGCAAUCGGAAUUCCGUGUGUAGCGGU